RNAcentral lists this unclassified non-coding RNA (976 nucleotides) under Sporobolus maritimus. RNAcentral's name for it is "partial external transcribed spacer". The record is from RNAcentral. Lineage: Eukaryota; Viridiplantae; Streptophyta; Magnoliopsida; Poales; Poaceae.
AGGUAUAUUAGGGGGAGGGGGUUGCUCCGAGAGGACCCUCCACGGUGGGAUGGGAUAAUCAAGGUAUGGAUGUUCUGACCCUAGGCACGGGUCCCCCUCGUGUCACAGCCUCGGUUGAGGUUGUACGUUAUGUCCGAAACGUCAGGGUAGCAGAGGCAACCGGACUUGGGUUACAGUUGGGUAAGAAAAGGUACCAGAUUUGUGGGACGAAUAAUGCAAACGGACUAAACCUGGCCUCGGGUUUGAGCGAGGCUGGGUGGACCGGUAAGGGAAACCUCAAACACUAGUGGGCUGUCCGAUAACGGGAAAGGUCUGUGAGCAGAAUUCGAUCUCAUAUUUCUGGUACCCUCCAGGUUGUGGUCGGGCUAAGAGAAGGUGGCAGAUUUGGAUGCUAUUGACACGGGCCCCCUCGUGUCAUGGCUUCCCGAUGUUCUGUGCGAAACGUAUACCGGGUUGCAGCGGUAUACGAAAAGUUGCCUUGAGGUCAUGACAAUGGCCUCCCGCCCCUGAAAAAGGGGCUCGGGAAUGACCCGGUGUUAUGACCCGAACGUAAUAGCUCCCGAGGCUGCAAGACCGGGUUAGGGCCCUGAACGGAAGGGUGCUAGAUUUGUCGGGAUGAAUGAUGGAAACGGACUUAUCCCGGCCUCGAGGUUUGAGCGAGGCAUGGGUAGACCGGUAAGGGAAAACUCAAACACGAGUGGGCUGUCCGAUAAUGGGAAACUGUCCGUGAUCAAAUUCGAUCUCAUAUUUCGGUACCCAUCCAGGUGUGGUCGGGCUCAGAGAUGGUGGCAGAUUGGGAUAUGCUAUUGACACGGGCCCCUCGUAUCAUGGCUGUCCUGAUGUUCUGUCCCAAGCGUAUACCGGGUUGCAGCGGUAUACGAAAAGUUGCCUUGAGGUCAUGACAAUGGCCUCCCCCUCCCCCUCUGAAAAUAGGGGCUCAGGAAUGACAUGACGUUACGUCGUGAACGUAGUGGUU